Molecule: long non-coding RNA, 967 nt
Filed under: Oryctolagus cuniculus (rabbit)
Lineage: Eukaryota; Metazoa; Chordata; Mammalia; Lagomorpha; Leporidae
Description: lncRNA (ENSOCUG00000035049.1)
Source: RNAcentral
GUAUUCGUCGAUGAGCUGGGAGCCGAAGAAGUCAGUAUUGCCAGUGCUUGGAGUAGCUUCAUCCAUUAAUAUUGAAAAAGGGCCUUGUGAGUGCCUCCUGUCGCCCUCCACCCCCCGCCCGGAGGCCUUGUCCAGCGCUUGGCCCCAGGUCUAGCCCUUCCGCGUGAUGGACAUUGCACCUGAGGACAUAUCACUGGCGCCUUGCCGAUACAUGUCUGUAUUUGGAGAGCACGACUGGAAUGACAGACAGCUGCAGUAUCACCGAGCACUUACGUCAGCAGUGACACACAGACCCCGACGUGUGUCCCUCAGACGUGGCGAUCCGAGCAGGUGGGGACUGCUGUCCGUCUCGUUUGUGGAGGAACACUCAACGCGCCGGCUUGCCCCAGUGUGCUCACUUCCCUUGUGGGGAUCAGACACCAUUAAAAGCCCUUGGCAGUCGAGAUCUGCAGCGUCCGUGCCGUGUCUCUGGGUAGGUGCGCUCCGUGGGUCAGCAGGCUGUCUCUGUGCGGGCUCAGACACUGAGUGUUUCAGACUUGCGGUCCAGUUGUCUCUCAGCACCCACAGGGGCUUGGUUCCAGGACCACCCCCUGGGACCCCCAAAUCCAGGGACGCGGAGCUCUUCUGCUGUUGCGUUGGGAGCACCGCUAGGAUGGACGGGAAUGGGCGUGGCUGCGUGCCAGUGAGAACUUAUCAGCAAGAGCACGUCUCCAGGUCACAGGCUUGUCAACCCUUGCGCUAUACUUUAGUUGAUUGCUGCUGUUGGACACUCAGUCAUCUCCUAAUUUUUCACACGAAAAUGUGAAUUUUAAUCAAGUUCAAUCCAGUCAUCACUUCUCCUGGCUUCGCUUUAAGACUUGGAAAACUUUCUCCGUUUCGCAGUUGGCUGCGGCAUCUCUGUUUGUGCCUUUGAAGAGCCAAUUCACUUUUUUGGCCAUUGUGGAUUUCCCCUGCUGCUCUCUCCCUC